AUAAGGGAUUUGGACAGUAUAGGGAUGAAAGAGUGAAGAUGCUGGUUAACUCUUGCAUAAGGGAUUGGGACAGUAUAGGGAUGAAAGAGUGAAGAUGCUGGUUAACUCUUGCAUAAGGGGUUUGGACAGUAUAGGGAUGAAAGAGUGAAGAUGCUGGUUAACUCUUGCAUAAGGGGUUUGGACAGUAUAGGGAUGAAAGAGUGAAGAUGCUGGUUAACUCUUGCAUAAGGGGUUUGGACAGUAUAGGGAUGAAAGAGUGAAGAUGCUGGUUAACUCUUGCAUAAGGGGUUUGGACAGUAUAGGGAUGAAAGAGUGAAGAUGCUGGUUAACUCUUGCAUAAGGGAUUUGGACAGUAUAGGGAUGAAAGAGUGAAGAUGCUGGUUAACUCUUGCAUAAGGGUUUUGGACAGUAUAGGGAUGAAAGAGUGAAGAUGCUGGUUAACUCUUGCAUAAGGGGUUUGGACAGUAUAGGGAUGAAAGAGUGAAGAUGCUGGUUAACUCUUGCAUAAGGGAUUUGGACAGUAUAGGGAUGAAAGAGUGAAGAUGCUGGUUAACUCUUGCAUAAGGGGUUUGGACAGUAUAGGGAUGAAAGAGUGAAGAUGCAGGUUAACUCUUGCAUAAGGGGUUUGGACA
This is a long non-coding RNA of Eriocheir sinensis (Chinese mitten crab), 632 nucleotides long. RefSeq lists it as uncharacterized. NCBI's taxonomy places the organism in Eukaryota, Metazoa, Arthropoda, Malacostraca, Decapoda, Varunidae. The record is from RefSeq and is a predicted model, not a curated record. The transcript has 3 exons.